RNAcentral lists this long non-coding RNA (2220 nucleotides) under Pan troglodytes (chimpanzee). RNAcentral describes it as "long non-coding RNA NONPTRT010304". The record is from RNAcentral. Lineage: Eukaryota; Metazoa; Chordata; Mammalia; Primates; Hominidae.
ACUACGUCGAGCAGCAGCAGAGGCUUUCUUCUGGGCUGUUUUGUGGGCCCCACCUCAACACAGAGGCUGGUAUUUCUUGGGUCUCUUGUUCAUCUGCUUUGGGCAGAGGUGACUGCAGGCCUUUGGUGACUUUGGAAAUGCUGCAGCAAUGAAGGCUCUGAGACCUGGAUACCCGAUGGCACUAGACUCAGUGCCCUGCACAGAGCUCCUGCCCAGCGCGAUGAAGAAUGAAGUGGACACUGUGGCCAUCUGCACGUGGUAGCUCGGGGAGGGGAAAGGAGUCCAGUGUCCACCAUCACUCAGCUGCUCUCUUUCCCGCUGGUGCCUGCUACCCUCCUGUCUCCUCUCUGCCCUGCGGACUCCUCCCUCCCUAGCUGGGAGGGGACAGAUGGUCCAGGUGUCAUUUCCUCCAGAGCUUGGACAGAGCCGGGCCCUCCCUGCCCCCAGGAGGCUGCCCUUCUGUUAUUGUUAAACAUUCGGCAGACUCACCACUCCGUGCAGGGCAUGAGGCCGCAUCCUGGAUUAAGAAAACAAGCUCUUGGAGGGGAGAGACCUUCCUUAUUUCCUGUGCAUCCCUCAUAAGCAAAGUGACAAGCAGGUCACAAGCAAGUGGCCCAGCUCGAUUCGUGUUUGGAGUGUCUACUUGGGGGCGAGACUCGUAGCCAUCUGCAGCCACACAGGCCUCACACAAGGCCUCAUUCUAUCCUUACGGCAACUGGGGGAAAAGUUCAGGAAAAGCUUUCAAGUACCAUCAGGCCUGUUUCCCAGAAGAGGAAAUGGAUGCUGAUAGCAGCUAAUUUACCUGCCAAAAGCACAUAAUAGGAGGCACGGUCAGGACUUUAACCCUGAGCUUUUGACUCCAGGCCCUAGAUUCUAUAAACUCUUUAGGAAGCGUACUCCCUGGCCAAGUGCAGUGUUUCACUGGCUUGGGAACUUAACACGCGUAGGCAAAAGGGUCACAGUGAGCACACCUGCAUGCAGGAGGGACGGAAGGAAGAAGGUCAGCAUCACCCGGGGCUGUGACCCUCCUGCAGGCCAUGUGUCUCCCUUGUGCCCCAGUGACCACGAGGGCCCUCUCGUCUCUGCUGCGGAAUCCCUGCCAGCAGGCAACAGGUCUAUGGGCUGUGUAUUUUUUUUUUUUUUUUUGAGACAGAGUCUGGUUUGGUCGCUGAGGCUAGAGUGCAGUGGCACAAUCUUGGCUCACUGCAACCUCCGCCUCCUGGGUUCAAGCGAUUCUCCUACCUCAGCCUCCCGAGGAGCUGAGACUACAGGCGUGAGCCACCACGCCCAGCUAAUUUUUGUAUUUUUAGUACAGACAAAGUUUUACUACAUUGGCCAGGCUGCUCUCGAACUCCUUACCUCGUGAUCUGCCCACCUUGGCCUCCCAAAGUGCUGGGAUUACAGGCAUGAGCCACCGUGCCCGGCCUGGGCUGUGUGUUCACCAUUGAGAGAGGCUGCUGAGAUCCCAAAUAGGCCCUGCUGAGACCACACCUGGCAGGGACAGAGAUAAACAGGAUUAAACGCAGCACAAGAAAAAGGUGGAAUGGGCGGAGGAGGGAGAGGCUGGCUGCCAGCACAGAAGCCCCAGUCGAUCCGUGUGUGGUGUAUGAGUCCUGUGUGCAGCCUGUGUGUGUUUAUGGAUGGUGUAUGCGUGUGUGUGAUGUGUAUUUAUGGGUGGUCAGCGUGUGUCUGUGGUGUGGUCUGUGUGUCUGGUGUGUAGCUCCAGUGUGUGUUUGUGUGUGCUUGUGUGCACAUGUGUGUUGUUGUCAUGCAGUGCAUGGGUGUUAUGUGCAUGCUUAUGUGUGGUGUGUAUCUGGUGUGUGAUGUGUUGUGUGUAGUUAUAUAUGGUCUGUGUGUCUGGUGUAUGUGGGUGCUUCUGGACGCGUGUGCAAGUGUGUGCUGUGUAUGCUUUGUGCUGUGUGUGUCAGCAGUGUGUGGGUGUCAGUGUGGCCAGGAGAGUUGGUUGUGGGGACAGCUGCUUUGUCACCAAUUCACAACUACCCAGGGUGCAGAGAUUUAAAAGCUGAAGCUUUAAGAGCUCCACGUCCCUGAGAGCCAUGGGGGACUUUCUGUGAAACAGCCCACCUGGCUCCCUCCUCCAGGCUGUGCCCUGAGGGAGCAUCAGGCUGCGCUCCUGAGUCUGCACCCCUGCUGGGUCCCCGCCUUGGGGAGUGGAUCUAGGGGGUCACUCUGUAGGGAAACUGAGUGACAAGUAGGGGC